UGUCACGUGGAACACAGCGGGAAUCACAGUGCACAUCCUGUGCCCCCUGGUGAGCCUGGGGUGAUCCUGGAGGGGGUUGCGACCUUGGGAGGGUCAGAGGCCAAGGCCAGGGAGAGGAGAGCAAGCCUGUGGCUCUGGGGUGCCUGGGUUAUAUAUAAUAAGUCCCUCUUUCAGGAGAGACCCUGGUGUAUCAGAGUCAAUAGUGGACCAUCCUGGGUGUUGCUGACUUUGCUCUUGUUUUUAUCAUCGGGCCUUGUGUCCUUUGCUACUCGAAGAAGAAGAAGAAGACAGCAUCAGCUGUGGGGAGCCCAGCCCUUCUUAAAAAUCCAAGGAAAAGAACCACAGGCUCAAACUAGAGAACUUGUGAAGCUACAAGUCCAGUGAUAACACAGAUGGCACCAACAGACUGUAAUGUCCCCCUUCAGCUGCGAAUCAGUCUCCUUGGUCAGCUCCCCACUCCACUGAUUCAACUAGGGGAGCUCAGAAUCUGCAGCCAGGUGACCAGGAUUCAACUCACUGCUCUGGUCUUCCUAGCACUUUCCCUCUUUUUUUUUUUUCUCACGGAUUAGAAGAAUUACAUUAAAAAAAAUUUUUUUAAUUCAGUUUUUUGUUGUUAAAGUAUAGUUUAUUUACAGUGUUGUGCCGGUCUCUGCUGUACAGCAAAGUGACUCAGUUAUACACACAGAG
This 687-nucleotide long non-coding RNA is filed under the name Monodon monoceros (narwhal). RNAcentral describes it as "lncRNA (ENSMMNG00015012051.1)". Lineage: Eukaryota; Metazoa; Chordata; Mammalia; Artiodactyla; Monodontidae. The record is from RNAcentral.